AAAAAGACAAACCCUGGUUUCCGUGUCCAAUGUUUGACCGUUCGUCUUAUUUGAAAAAAUUAUAAAAAAAAUUAAAAAGACAAGUCACGCAUAAAAUAUUAAUCAUGUUUUAUCAUCUAACAACAAUGAAAAUACGAAUUAUAAAAAAAUUUCAUAUAAGACAGACAGUCAAAGUUGGACACGGAAACCUAGGGUUUGCCUUUUU
Molecule: microRNA precursor, 205 nt
Filed under: Oryza sativa Indica Group (long-grained rice)
Lineage: Eukaryota; Viridiplantae; Streptophyta; Magnoliopsida; Poales; Poaceae
Description: MIR812 microRNA precursor family
Rfam family: MIR812 microRNA precursor family
Source: Rfam by way of RNAcentral